AUACUCUCAAUCUUAAGUCUUUUUUUACGAGAAGGCUUAGGGUUGGACUUGGAUGUUGCUGCGAUUUUAUCGCGGCUCGUCUCGAAAUGCAUUAGCUGGUCCACCUCGGUCUUAACAAACGGUGUGAUAAGAAACAUUCAUUUGUGACUGUAGCGCUGCUGUUAUAGACUGGUGAAAGGACUGCUUCUAAUCGUCUUAGGACAAAAUUUUCAUGUCAU
RNAcentral lists this unclassified non-coding RNA (218 nucleotides) under uncultured Sphaerobolus. RNAcentral describes it as "sequence contains ITS2". Lineage: Eukaryota; Fungi; Basidiomycota; Agaricomycetes; Geastrales; Sphaerobolaceae. The record is from RNAcentral.